CGGGCUGUGGCGCAGCUUGGUAGCGCACUUGGUUUGGGACCAAGGGGUCGUCGGUUCGAAUCCGACCAGCCCGACCA
This 77-nucleotide transfer RNA is filed under the name Acidimicrobiia bacterium. RNAcentral describes it as "tRNA-Pro". It matches the Rfam family "tRNA". Rfam says of the family: Transfer RNA (tRNA) molecules are approximately 80 nucleotides in length. Their secondary structure includes four short double-helical elements and three loops (D, anti-codon, and T loops). Lineage: Bacteria; Bacillati; Actinomycetota; Acidimicrobiia. The record is from RNAcentral.